Molecule: ribosomal RNA, 340 nt
Filed under: Anopsobius giribeti
Lineage: Eukaryota; Metazoa; Arthropoda; Chilopoda; Lithobiomorpha; Henicopidae
Description: partial 12S ribosomal RNA
Source: RNAcentral
UAUAGAUUUAAAUUAGAUAAUUGAGUAGUAAUAGAGUUCUUGAAACUUAAAGAGUUUGGCGGUAUUUAAGUCUUUUUAGAGGAACCUGUAGUUUAAUCGAUAAUCCCCGUAAUAUCUAACCUUAAUAAUAAAGUUUGUAUAUCGUUGUCCAUAGAAUAAUCUUGAAGGAUAUUUUCUAAAAGUUUAGAAUCCCUAUGUCAAAUCAAGGUGCAGCUAUAUUUGGGUAUGAUUGGGUUACAAUGCUUAGUGUAAACGGAGUAAAGAAUGAAAAUAAAUAUGAAGGUGGAUUUAAUUGUAAAUAAUUUUCAAAAAGGAUUUUUGAAAUAGUACUAAAAUAUGC